AGCAGCCGCGGUAAUUCCAGCUCCAAUAGCGUAUAUUAAAGUUGUUGCAGUUAAAAAGCUCGUAGUUGAAUUUCGGGAUUGACACAUCGGUCGUGCCUUAAGGGGUGUGAACUGGUGUAGUCAAUUUCUCACCUUCUGGAGAACCGCGAUGUCCUUAAUUGGGUGCCGCGAGGAACCAGGACCUUUACUUUGAAAAAAUUAGAGUGUUUAAAGCAGGCAUUUUUGCUUGAAUACAUUAGCAUGGAAUAAUAAAAUAGGACGGCAUGAUUCUAUUUUGUUGGUUUCUAGGAUCACCGUAAUGAUUAAUAGGGAUAGUUGGGGGCAUUAGUAUUCAAUUGUCGGAGGUGAAAUUCUUGGAUUUAUUGAAGACUAACUACUGCGAAAGCAUUUGCCAAGGAUGUUUUCAUUAAUCAAGAACGAAAGUUAGGGAUCGAAGACGAUCAGAUACCGUCGUAGUCUUAACCAUAAACUAUGACCGACUAGGAAUCAGACGAUGUUAAUUUUUAAUGUACUCGUUUGG
Molecule: ribosomal RNA, 520 nt
Filed under: uncultured Entrophospora
Lineage: Eukaryota; Fungi; Glomeromycota; Glomeromycetes; Entrophosporales; Entrophosporaceae
Description: SSU rRNA
Rfam family: Eukaryotic small subunit ribosomal RNA
Source: RNAcentral